Molecule: long non-coding RNA, 1193 nt
Filed under: Olea europaea subsp. europaea
Lineage: Eukaryota; Viridiplantae; Streptophyta; Magnoliopsida; Lamiales; Oleaceae
Source: RNAcentral
UAUUUAGUUUUUUUAAAUAAAAGAGAGAGUUUGCACAAAGAGUACAGUUAUAUAAACGAUAUAAUUAAUUACCAAUUAACUAUAUAAACGAAACAGUUUGUUUAAAAGAUUAUUUAAAAGCUAGGUAAACUUUAUUGGAACAAAGAAAAAAAGAAAUUAAUUUAAAAAAUUAGAAAAUGGAAAAUGCAAGUAUAUUGAACUUGUGUUUUGAUUACGUAUUCGAUUAAGCGAAAUUGAGGAGGAGAUAAUAUUUAACUAAUAGAUAAAGUAAAAUAUAUGUAUUUUACACAACUAUUCUUUAUCGAUAGCAAAAGAAGUUUUAUAUAUUAGUGUCAACCACGGGUCGAGUACAAUUCUGUGAUUUCACAGUAUUUACAUUUUUAACAACAAAAACAUACCAAAAUAUCUAAAGCAACCUGUUCUAUUUAGAAACCAAAAUCAUAUAACUGAAUCUAAGACUCAUUAUUCUACUGGAGAUUUAUAGAUUAUAGGUUGCUUGUAGAAUCACAGAAGUGUCUACUGUUAGAUUGUCUAUUAUCCCAAAACAAAACGAACGUGAGUUGAGGUUUUAUCCAGAGCUAAGGACAUCAGCAUCUUCAACGUGUUUAUCAGUCUUCAUUUUCUUCUUGGAACGAGUUUCGGUUUUUUGGUCUCGAGUUUGAAAGAGAGCCCUCUUUGCAUUUGGUGCAAGCACUUCGUCGGCGUUUGUAGAAUCUUGAUUAUCUGUCAUGCACAUCUUCUCUUUACUUUUCGUAGAUGUUUUGUUUGAACUAUCAUCAGUUGUUACAAGAGAAGAAUCCAAUUCUAUGAUUGUACUUGAAGAAUCAAUGUCAGUUGUUGUUGAAGAGUUGAAUAUGAAGAUAAUUUCAUAUCGGUAUUCAGGUGGAUUUUGGCUUCUUGGUGUUACUUUUAGGUAAAAAAGCUGUUCUUCUUCGUUGUUAGUUCUUAUGAGAUCUUUUAGUUGUGUAUCCACGUCCUGAAAUAUUAAAAUUAUACUCAUUUAAUAUGAUGAAGUAAAUGCAAAUAAUUAUUAAAAAUUUAGUAGUAUUUGGAGUUAACCUUUUCAAAAUGGUUCAUAAUUUGGACGGCAUUUGCUUCCAAUAAAGUUUCUGCGGUUUCUCCUAUUAUGGUUGCAUCCAAGCCUCCAGAGUUGUCUUCAAUAUGUACGAAAGCAGUUACCCUAUAUAGAGAAG